GAUGAAGAACGCAGCGAAAUGCGAUAAGUAGUGUGAAUUGCAGAAUUCAGUGAAUCAUCGAAUCUUUGAACGCACAUUGCGCCCCUUGGUAUUCCAUGGGGCAUGCCUGUUCGAGCGUCAUUUGUACCUUCAAGCUUUGCUUGGUGUUGGGUGUUUGUCCAUUCUCUUGCAGAGGGACUCGCCUUAAAGUAAUCGGCAGCCAGUGUUUUGGUUUUGAAGCGCAGCACAAGUCGCGAUUCAAAGCUAUACGCCCGCUUCCACAAGCCUUUUUCACUUUUGACCUCGGAUCAGGUAGGGAUACCCGCUGAACUUAAGCAUAUCAAUAAGCGGAGGA
RNAcentral lists this unclassified non-coding RNA (334 nucleotides) under soil metagenome. RNAcentral's name for it is "partial contains 5.8S ribosomal RNA, internal transcribed spacer 2, and large subunit ribosomal RNA". The stretch from base 1 to 120 matches the Rfam family "5.8S ribosomal RNA", at positions 35 to 154 of the family's 154-position model. The record is from RNAcentral.